UGACAGCCAACAUUUAUUAUAUUUCAGUGUCUCUCCAAAAACAGUUCACCUAACCAAAUUUUCUUGAAAUUUUACUAUAUUUUCCACAGUUUAACUUUUACAACAAAUUUGUAGACGUGUAAAUUUAUUAGGAUGAUAUAUAUGAACAGGCCAUAAGCCGUACAAGCCAAGAUCGUGAAAAGUGUAAGAGGACACAAAACACCGAUAAAGUGUAGCAGGCCGGAUCCGGUUACCAAUGACGGGUAUCUAAACUUUUUGCGUGACUUUUGUAAAACGCACCGUGGGUUAAGGUGCGCAGACUUAAUCAGAAAAGCAGUCCGCACCUGGAAAAGUCUCCCUGACAUAAAGAAGGAUAAGUACAGGCGCAUGGCCUGCACAGUCAGCAAGAAGAAGCCUCCAGUUUGCAAGGACUGUAAAGAGGAUCUACAAUUUGCUUUUGGUUUUAUUACUAAAGCAAAUAGAAUAUUGAAGACAACAGAAAAAUUGAUUUGUGGUCGAUAAUUUGUUUAAAACAGACUAAUUUUGGAAUGUGUCAUUACAAUAAAGAUGUAUGAUCUCA
Molecule: long non-coding RNA, 559 nt
Organism: Drosophila kikkawai
Lineage: Eukaryota; Metazoa; Arthropoda; Insecta; Diptera; Drosophilidae
Source: RefSeq, a predicted model, not a curated record